CCUGAGCAUGGGCACGUUCGAGGUGCAUCUCCCCUUCGACCAGGACCGGUACGAAUUCGCCGACCCUGCCGGCGUGGGCUUACCGGCGUUCCUGCCCGACAACGAACCCACGCGGAAGCAGAUGGCCAUGUUCCACGGGUCGAUCCGCUUCAUGGACCAACAGUUCGGGCGGACCCUGGCGGCCCUGGACGCUUCGCCCCACCGCGACAACACGAUCGUGAUCUUCACGACCGACCACGGCAUGGCCUUCCCUCGGGCAAAGAGCACGCUGUACGACUCGGGCAUAGGCAACGCGACGAUCGUACGCCUGCCCAAGGACAUGGGCCCCGGCGGGGUGG
This 338-nucleotide ribosomal RNA is filed under the name uncultured eukaryote. RNAcentral's name for it is "partial small subunit ribosomal RNA". The record is from RNAcentral.